This 440-nucleotide ribosomal RNA is filed under the name uncultured bacterium. RNAcentral describes it as "partial 16S ribosomal RNA". It matches the Rfam family "Bacterial small subunit ribosomal RNA", at positions 338 to 795 of the family's 1533-position model. The record is from RNAcentral.
CCUACGGGAGGCAGCAGUGGGGAAUAUUGCACAAUGGGGGAAACCCUGAUGCAGCGACGCCGCGUGAGUGAAGAAGUAUCUCGGUACGUAAAGCUCUAUCAGCAGGAAAGAAAAUGACGGUACCUGACUAAGAAGCCCCGGCUAACUACGUGCCAGCAGCCGCGGUAAUACGUAGGGGGCAAGCGUUAUCCGGAUUUACUGGGUGUAAAGGGAGCGUAGACGGCGCUGCAAGUCCGGAGUGAAAGCCCAUGGCUUAACCAUGGUACUGCUCUGGAAACAGUAGAGCUUGAGUGCGGGAGGGGCAGGUGGAAUUCCUAGUGUAGCGGUGAAAUGCGUAGAGAUUAGGAGGAACACCGGCGGCGAAGGCGGCCUGCUGGACCGUAACUGACGUUGAGGCUCGAAAGCGUGGGGAGCAAACAGGAUUAGAUACCCCAGUAGUC